UGGGGGAUAUUGCACAAUGGGGGAAACCCUGAUGCAGCAACGCCGCGUGAGGGAAGAAGGUCUUCGGAUUGUAAACCUAAGUUGUCAGGGACGAACGAAAUGACGGUACCUGAAGAGAAAGCUCCGGCUAACUACGUGCCAGCAGCCGCGGUAAUACGUAGGGAGCGAGCGUUGUCCGGAUUUACUGGGUGUAAAGGGUGCGUAGGCGGGUUUGCAAGUCAGACGUGAAAUACCGAGGCUUAACUUCGGGGCUGCGUUUGAAACUGUAGAUCUUGAGUGAAGUAGAGGCAAGCGGAAUUCCUAGUGUAGCGGUGAAAUGCGUAGAUAUUAGGAGGAACACCAGUGGCGAAGGCGGCUUGCUGGGCUUUAACUGACGCUGAGGCACGAAAGCAUGGGGAGCAAACAGG
Molecule: ribosomal RNA, 407 nt
Filed under: uncultured prokaryote
Also listed under: 1 other name
Description: bacterial SSU rRNA
Rfam family: Bacterial small subunit ribosomal RNA
Source: RNAcentral